CCGAGUGCGGGCCCUCGCGGCCCAACCUCCCACCCUUGUCUCUAUACACCUGUUGCUUUGGCGGGCCCACCGGGGCCACCUGGUCGCCGGGGGACGCACGUCUCCGGGCCCGCGCCCGCCGAAGCGCUCUGUGAACCCUGAUGAAGAUGGGCUGUCUGAGUACUGUGAAAAUUGUCA
This 177-nucleotide unclassified non-coding RNA is filed under the name soil metagenome. RNAcentral describes it as "partial internal transcribed spacer 1". The record is from RNAcentral.